GAUGAACGCUGGCGGCGUGCCUAAUACAUGCAAGUCGAGCGAACGGACGAGAAGCUUGCUUCUCUGAUGUUAGCGGCGGACGGGUGAGUAACACGUGGAUAACCUACCUAUAAGACUGGGAUAACUUCGGGAAACCGGAGCUAAUACCGGAUAAUAUUUUGAACCGCAUGGUUCAAAAGUGAAAGACGGUCUUGCUGUCACUUAUAGAUGGAUCCGCGCUGCAUUAGCUAGUUGGUAAGGUAACGGCUUACCAAGGCAACGAUGCAUAGCCGACCUGAGAGGGUGAUCGGCCACACUGGAACUGAGACACGGUCCAGACUCCUACGGGAGGCAGCAGUAGGGAAUCUUCCGCAAUGGGCGAAAGCCUGACGGAGCAACGCCGCGUGAGUGAUGAAGGUCUUCGGAUCGUAAAACUCUGUUAUUAGGGAAGAACAUAUGUGUAAGUAACUGUGCACAUCUUGACGGUACCUAAUCAGAAAGCCACGGCUAACUACGUGCCAGCAGCCGCGGUAAUACGUAGGUGGCAAGCGUUAUCCGGAAUUAUUGGGCGUAAAGCGCGCGUAGGCGGUUUUUUAAGUCUGAUGCGAAAGCCCACGGCUCAACCGUGGAGGGUCAUUGGAAACUGGAAAACUUGAGUGCAGAAGAGGAAAGUGGAAUUCCAUGUGUAGCGGUGAAAUGCGCAGAGAUAUGGAGGAACACCAGUGGCGAAGGCGACUUUCUGGUCUGUAACUGACGCUGAUGUGCGAAAGCGUGGGGAUCAAACAGGAUUAGAUACCCUGGUAGUCCACGCCGUAAACGAUGAGUGCUAAGUGUUAGGGGGUUUCCGCCCCUUAGUGCUGCAGCUAACGCAUUAAGCACUCCGCCUGGGGAGUACGACCGCAAGGUUGAAACUCAAAGGAAUUGACGGGGACCCGCACAAGCGGUGGAGCAUGUGGUUUAAUUCGAAGCAACGCGAAGAACCUUACCAAAUCUUGACAUCCUUUGACAACUCUAGAGAUAGAGCCUUCCCCUUCGGGGGACAAAGUGACAGGUGGCGCAUGGUUGUCGUCAGCUCGUGUCGUGAGAUGUUGGGUUAAGUCCCGCAACGAGCGCAACCCUUAAGCUUAGUUGCCAUCAUUAAGUUGGGCACUCUAAGUUGGCUGCCGGUGACAAACCGGAGGAAGGUGGGGAUGACGUCAAAUCAUCAUGCCCCUUAUGAUUUGGGCUACACACGUGCUACAAUGGACAAUACAAAGGGCAGCGAAACCGCGAGGUCAAGCAAAUCCCAUAAAGUUGUUCUCAGUUCGGAUUGUAGUCUGCAACUCGACUACAUGAAGCUGGAAUCGCUAGUAAUCGUAGAUCAGCAUGCUACGGUGAAUACGUUCCCGGGUCU
RNAcentral lists this ribosomal RNA (1372 nucleotides) under uncultured bacterium. RNAcentral describes it as "bacterial SSU rRNA". It matches the Rfam family "Bacterial small subunit ribosomal RNA", at positions 28 to 1381 of the family's 1533-position model. The record is from RNAcentral.